UACGUAGGGUGCAAGCGUUAAUCGGAAUUACUGGGCGUAAAGCGUACGCAGGCGGUUAUGUAAGACAGAUGUGAAAUGCCCGGGCUUAACCUGGGAACUGCAUUUGUGACUGCAUGGCUAGAGUUUGGCAGAGGGGGGUAGAAUUCCACGUGUAGCAGUGAAAUGCGUAGAUAUGUGGAGGAACACCGAUGGCGAAGGCAGCCCCCUGGGUCAAAACUGACGCUCAUGCACGAAAGCGUGGGGAGCAAACAGG
RNAcentral lists this ribosomal RNA (253 nucleotides) under uncultured bacterium. Its description in RNAcentral is "partial 16S ribosomal RNA". It matches the Rfam family "Bacterial small subunit ribosomal RNA", at positions 524 to 776 of the family's 1533-position model. The record is from RNAcentral.